Molecule: long non-coding RNA, 1082 nt
Organism: Nannospalax galili (Upper Galilee mountains blind mole rat)
Lineage: Eukaryota; Metazoa; Chordata; Mammalia; Rodentia; Spalacidae
Exons: 3
Source: RefSeq, a predicted model, not a curated record
GGUCGUGGUCCCUCACUUGCCCGGGGCAGGGGCCGGCCCGGAGGGGAGGGCGCGCGCGGGCCCGGCGGCCUGAGGCGUUUGUCCCAGCGUGGGAGCCGUAGCUGAGUCCCUCCGCGGCCACCGUAGCGCGGGCCUCACGCCCCCUCCGCCCGCGCCGACACUGCGGAACCUUGCUGUGCCCGCCUCGGGCCCGCGCGGGGCGUCCAGGAACUCGGCGCCGUCUCAGGAUGCGCGCUCGUAUGCGCGCCGCCGGCCGCUCCUGACGUCACCGCCCACGGACGCGGCGACCCUGUGUUGCGCAGGCGCAGGUUGGGGGUGGAACCCAGGGCCUGUACUUGGCAGAUCAGCUCUCUACUGCUGAGCUGUACCCCAGUCCACCCUCUCUCUUAAUUGAUGGGCUGUUCUAUAGGCUCUGUAGUCCACUGCUUCCUUGGCGCAGGAGCCAAUGGCCCUUCAUUCAGACCUGGAGAGCGCUGUCUAGAACACUUGGACUCCAGAACGACGAGAACUGAAGCAUGGAACAGAAAGGUUCCAUUUUCCCAGUGAGAAGCUCCUGACACCAACCGUGACAACCUCCUGCUGGCUUCAGCUGCACCUGAAGACCCCUGCCCACCUUCCAGCAUGGGACUCUGGCAGGAGGCGCUGCUGUAACAGCUGUGCUCUCUGGAGACAGACUUAUUCUCCUGAAAUCCAGCCAGCUGCUUCCUGCUAAGGGAAUUGGCCUCAAUCAGCAAAGGCAAAGGGUACCACCAGGUCGUGUCUCCCCAGCAUCCCCAUGAAACCUUCCCCUGGGGCUCAGAAGUCUCUGGGAUGUGGGUCCUGAGGUUGCCAAAAGCUGUUGAGCCCAGAGUUUCCUAGUAGCCAGGGGGUGAUAUUCCCUGAAAGUGAGGUGGGUGGGGUGGAGUGAGGAAUCUGUGUACUGGGGAGUUUGGAAGGUAAGAGUUCUGUGGCUGAAUGGCAGUGGUGGCAGGACAAUGCUGUGGUUGCACUUAAUGCCCCUGAACUAUGCAGUUACAAUGGUUAACAUAGUAACUCUGUGUUAUAUAAUCUACCAUAAUAAAAAGAAAAAAACAGGCCGGGCG